AGUGAACGCUGGCGGUAGGCCUAACACAUGCAAGUCGAACGGCAGCACAGUAAGAGCUUGCUCUUACGGGUGGCGAGUGGCGGACGGGUGAGGAAUACAUCGGAAUCUACUUUUUCGUGGGGGAUAACGUAGGGAAACUUACGCUAAUACCGCAUACGACCUACGGGUGAAAGCAGGGGAUCUUCGGACCUUGCGCGAUUGAAUGAGCCGAUGUCGGAUUAGCUAGUUGGCGGGGUAAAGGCCCACCAAGGCGACGAUCCGUAGCUGGUCUGAGAGGAUGAGCAGCCACACUGGAACUGAGACACGGUCCAGACUCCUACGGGAGGCAGCAGUGGGGAAUAUUGGACAAUGGGCGCAAGCCUGAUCCAGCCAUACCGCGUGGGUGAAGAAGGCCUUCGGGUUGUAAAGCCCUUUUGUUGGGAAAGAAAAGCAGCAGGUUAAUACCCCGCUGUUCCGACGGUACCCAAAGAAUAAGCACCGGCUAACUUCGUG
Molecule: ribosomal RNA, 492 nt
Filed under: uncultured bacterium
Lineage: Bacteria
Description: partial 16S ribosomal RNA
Rfam family: Bacterial small subunit ribosomal RNA
Source: RNAcentral